Long non-coding RNA from Bos indicus x Bos taurus (hybrid cattle), 1062 nucleotides. NCBI's taxonomy places the organism in Eukaryota, Metazoa, Chordata, Mammalia, Artiodactyla, Bovidae. The record is from Ensembl.
GGCCGGGCCGCCCAGAGCUCGCCAUUGGGCCUCACUCCCGGGGUCCCGAGCGCCGGCCAUGCUGAUUGGCCGCUGGGGCUUCAUUCACAGCCCCCCUACAGUCCGCAUACACACUCACGCCCCGGGGGCGCGGCCGCCACGUGGGGAGUGGCGCGGGGGUGGUACUGGGACCGCACCCCCUCUCGUCCUGGCUGCGUGGGCCCGCUUUCCCCGGUCUCUGGAGACUCCGAGCCCGGCGGGUCCCACGCUCCACGCGAGCAGAAUUCCCGCAGGUCUCCCGCCCGGGUGGCCAGAGGCGGUGGCGGGGAUGGCGGGCUCCGGGAGGCGCUCCGGCUCCGAGAAGCCGCUUAGCCCCGCGCUCCUCCCUCCGCAGUGCCGCCGCCGGCGGGCCGGGAUUCCCGCGGGUCUCGGCGGCCGCGAGCUGCAGGCGGCGCGGGUCCCCGGCUCGGUUGGUCACCUUGCCCGCCUCGCCUCCCACGGCUUCCAGCGGGCGCGGAGCUCUCCUCUGCGCGCCUCCCCGGCCCGUCUCGGUUUCCCUUCUUCGUCCUCUAGACCAUCCAGCGCAACUCCGUCGACCUCCGCGGCCCUGAGAGAGCAUCCGGCGCGGGCAGAGGCGUACCGGCCCGACCUCACGCCUCUCAUGGACUCUUCUCCAGGGUACCAUGGCCCAGAUUGGGACUAUCAGUACCAUAGGCAGCCCACCUGUCUCACUAAGGUAAGUCAUAGAGUGGUACAAGACAGUGGGAGGGAGUAGGACUCAGAAAGGGCUUUUACUCUUGUUGUUUCUAUUGUUAGCACCCAGUGAAGGAAGAGGUUACUCCCACUAUCUAACUAAAUCGCCAUUCCCUCAUCUGCAGAGUGGGGAUGUGGAGGUUCGGAUACUAUGACCUCUUUGGUAACCUCCCUUCCAGCUCUGAUGGUCUGAGUCUAUGAACCUGUCUCAGUUUCUGUUGGAGGAAGGGAAAUGUCUGGACAGUGGACAGAUGUUGUUUGGAAUGGUCACCAUGAGCAAUGGAUGUUUUAACGAAUAAAUGCUUUUCAUUCAUGAUGUUACCUGCUACU